UAAUCUGUCUGAGGCAGAUUUUCAUCUUUUUAUGAUAUAUCUACACCUAACCGCUCAGAAUUAUUUACCAUCUCAAGAUCGAUUGCAUUAAUUACUAAUGUAGAAUUGAAAGUGUUUGUUUUGAUA
Populus trichocarpa (black cottonwood) is the source of this 126-nucleotide non-coding RNA. NCBI's taxonomy places the organism in Eukaryota, Viridiplantae, Streptophyta, Magnoliopsida, Malpighiales, Salicaceae. The record is from Rfam.